AAGUCGUAACAAGGUUUCCGUAGGCGGAAGGAUCACUAACAAGUAUCCAACGUUAAACCCCCUGUACUUUUAUACUUGCUCUCCUAGCCCGCCGGAAUUGUAAUCCCUGGUAAAUCAUUGUUGAACAGAUUUUGAUUCAGGCCUCAGUUUGGUAGGCGAAGAUCGAGCGAUCGUUGCAAGUGGCCUGGUUUCCCCAAGCAGUCAGUGUCUGGAAGUGUCACCGAUUGCGUAAGGAUAACGCUUUUCGAUCACUAGAGGCCGGUGACCAGGUCGCCGUGGCUUCGGCCCCCUAUAUUAACCCCACUACCUGAACUCGCCUCGUAGGAAACUGCUGGGCAACAAAACGAACAAUUGUUAACAAUGGAUAUCUUAGUUCUC
This 378-nucleotide unclassified non-coding RNA is filed under the name fungal sp. Its description in RNAcentral is "partial internal transcribed spacer region". The record is from RNAcentral. Lineage: Eukaryota; Fungi.